AGAUCCGCCUCCAUCGCAGCCAGAAGCAAGAAGCUGUCUUCCCGCCCCCGCGUGCCUACAAUCAGCCCCAGUCUCCCUGGGAAACCGACGAGCGCACCUGAGCUGGGUUCUGAGCUCCAGCGUUUUGGGGCUAGAAGUUGCGGACUAGUAGCUGAGGCGGCACGGGAGUGUAGGCGCGCGGGGUCGUUGCCGGGGGCACAGAGUGAGAACAAGCAAGGGAGCCCUGCUGAAUUGCAGCUUAGGAAGCCCUGAAUCCUGGAGGCUGGAGUCCAAUGAUGCGAUCUCGGCUCACCGCAACCUCCGCCUUCAGGGUUCAAGCAAUUCUCCUGCCUCAGCCUCCCGAGUAGCUGGGAUUACAGCAGUGAAGGCAGUGAGGGGCUGUGGUGUGAUCCAGGAGGCUGAGAAUUAUGCAGUGGGUGCUGUCACCUUGAAGACAUCAGCGUGAUCAGGCAGAUCAUCAUGGUACUGCAUUUCCUGGACACGAUCUUAAUUUUCUUAAUACCUCCACCGACAUUUCAAAUAGCGUCUCUAAUGCCCCAGAGACUUUUAUGCCCCUAAGGUAGUUUUCUUUCUUUUGUGAAGCAGAAGAAGGGAAAUUGUUAAAGGGAAUAUUUUAACUAAAUUUAUU
This 628-nucleotide long non-coding RNA is filed under the name Homo sapiens (human). RNAcentral's name for it is "non-protein coding ARHGEF26-AS1:18". Lineage: Eukaryota; Metazoa; Chordata; Mammalia; Primates; Hominidae. The record is from RNAcentral.